This 383-nucleotide ribosomal RNA is filed under the name uncultured eukaryote. RNAcentral describes it as "partial 18S ribosomal RNA". It matches the Rfam family "Eukaryotic small subunit ribosomal RNA", at positions 592 to 976 of the family's 1831-position model. The record is from RNAcentral.
CAAUAGCGUAUAUUAAAGUUGUUGCAGUUAAAAAGCUCGUAGUUGGAUUUCUGGUGGGAGCGAUCGGUCUGGCGCUUAGCGCGAGUACUUGCAUCGUCUCCGGCCAUCCUUGGGGAGAGUCUGUCUGGCAUUAGGUUGUCGGGCAGAGGAUCCUCAUCGUUUACUGUGAAAAAAUUAGAGUGUUCAAAGCAGGCUUAUGCCGUUGAAUAUAUGAGCAUGGAAUAAUAAGAUAGGACUUUGGUACUAUUUUGUUGGUUUGCGCACCAAAGUAAUGAUUAAUAGGGACAGUUGGGGGUAUUCGUAUUCCGUUGUCAGAGGUGAAAUUCUUGGAUUUACGGAAGACGAACUACUGCGAAAGCAUUUACCAAGGAUGUUUUCAUUAA